RNAcentral lists this ribosomal RNA (255 nucleotides) under uncultured bacterium. Its description in RNAcentral is "partial 16S ribosomal RNA". It matches the Rfam family "Bacterial small subunit ribosomal RNA", at positions 524 to 776 of the family's 1533-position model. The record is from RNAcentral.
UACGUAGGGUGCUAGCGUUGUCCGGAUUUAUUGGGCGUAAAGAGCUCGUAGGCGGUGUGUCACGUCGGCCGUGAAAACCUGCAGCUUAACUGUGGGCGUGCGGUCGAUACGGGCAAUCACUGGAGUUCGGCAGGGGAGACUGGAAUUCCUGGUGUAGCGGUGAAAUGCGCAGAUAUCAGGAGGAACACCGGUGGCGAAGGCGGGUCUCUGGGCCGAUACUGACGCUGAGGAGCGAAAGCGUGGGGAGCAAACAGG